UCUAUAUACAAAGCUUCCAGAACAGCUCAGGAGCAGAUGAAAGUGUAAAAACCUGGUGACUGUUCUCACAUGUAGUGCCAGCUGCUACUGCUGGAAGCACGUUCAUGUCUCUGCCAGACACCACCUGAAACCCAGCAACCACUCACACCUGUACUUCACUCCCCCACUGUUCUUUCACUUAUCCUACAAGCUAUUGUUGAGCGCCUACACAAAGCCAGGAGCCAACGAAACAAAAGCAAAUAAAACACAGGGUUUGUCUUGUGAAAAUUUCAGUCUGGAAGAGGAGAUUGGACAUUCCCUGAAGACACAGGAAUUUUGGAAGGACACAGUGUCGUUGCCAUUGGAGGCCAGUAGAUAAAGGGGUUUGGGAGUUCCAGGGAGAAAGGAUUCGAGUUGAAGCCCUAACCUUCGAUGUGUUGGUGUUAGGAGGUGGAGCCUUCGGGAGGUAAUUAGGUUUAGAUGAGGUCAGGAGGGUAGGGCCUCCGUGAUGGGAUGGGUGCUCUUAUAAGAGGAAGCAACACCAGAGCAUCCUGUCUCAGUCAUGAGAGGACGCGGUGAGAGGGAAGUCACUUGCAAGUCAGAAACAGGGUCCUCACUGAGAACCAGGUCUGCUCGUGCCUUAUCUCAGACUUCCAGUCUCCAGAACUGUGAGAAAGAAAUGUCUGUUGUUUAAGCCACCCCGUCUGUAGAGUUUGUUUGGCAGCCCAAGCUGAUGGAUACAGGAGGCUCUAAGAGGCAACAAAUGAGAACCUGGAUGAAGAGGCAUGUCAAAGAGAAUCAAGCAAACCCAGCAGACAACCCUGCAUGCUUGAUGAGGUUUUGAGGAAGGAAAAGUUGUUCUCCGGGCAAAGGAAUGCAGAGAAAGGAAAAUUCAUCCUCCUUCGUUGGACUGAAUGGAAAAGGGGAAAGACAAUUGCUCCAGGUUCAAGGAGUGUCCAAGGCCUCAUUGCUGACUGUUCUGCAGAGUGAAGGUGGAGCUCUCCAACAGGACCAAAUAAUGACAUGAAUAAAUAUGUAACUGCAAACAGGAGAAGGUGUUAAAAAGGCGAAAUGCACAGUGCUCUAAGAGCUAAGGACAAGCCCCCUGGCCUGGUGGGGGGUGGCUUUCCUGGAGAAUGAAGCCUGAGCUAAGCUUUGAGGAUGUAGGAAGGGAGCAUUCCAGGCAGAGGGAACUCUCCAUGCUCUGGCAAGAGGAUGCUUUCUGAAAAGGCCUAGGUGGAAUGGUGCCGGUUGAAAGGCCAGACAAGGACCAGGUCAAAGUCUGGAGGACUUGGGAUGCUUUUUGUCUUCAUCCUAAGAGAUUGGGAUCAAAAAAGCAGAUGAUGUGAUCAGAGGUGCAUUUUGGAAAGAUUAAUUUGGCUGCUGAGUGGAGAAUUAAUCAGAGAAGAAAUGGAGAGUUAGUGUUCAGUCAAAGUUAGUUAGUCCAUCUCUCUAAAAUGGCUACAAUUUAACAAACAAACAAAAACCCCAGAAAAUAACAUGUGAUGACAAUGAUACAGAGAAAUUGGAACCUUUGUACAUCGCUGAUUGAAAUGCAAAAUGGUAUAACCAACCCAUGUGGAAAAUAGAUAGGCAGUUCCUCAGUGACUUAAACAUAGAGUGACCAUUUAACCUGACAAUUCCACUCCUAGGUAUAUACCCCAGAGAACUGAAGACAGGGACUCAAACAAAACUUUGUAUAUGAAUGUUCAUAGCAGCAUAGAGCAAAAGGUGGAAGUAACCCAAAUGUACCUCAGCUGAUGAAUGGAUAGACAAAAUGUGGUACACCUGUAAGUGGAAUGGUGAAAGUAAAGUCGCUCAGUCGUCUCCGACUCUGCGACCCGGUGGACUGCAGCCCACCAGGCUCCUCCAUCUAUGGGAUUUUCCAGGCAAGAAUACUGGAGUGGGUUGCCAUUUCCUUCUCCAAGAGAUCUUCCCAACCCAGGUAUUGAACCCGGGUCUCCUGCAAUGUAGGCAGAUGCUUGACCGUCUGAGCCACCAGGGAAGUCCCUGGUGGAAUAUAAAUGGAAUAUUACUUAGCCAUAAAAAAUAAUGAAAAGUACUAAUACAUGCUACAACAUGAAUGAACCUUAAAAACAUCAUUCUAGGUGUAAGAAGCCAGAUACAAAAGGCCAGAUGUUGCAUGAUUCCAUUUAUAUAAAAUUGUAGUGUGCACAAAUCCAUAGGAACAGAGAUCACAUUAGUGGUUGCCAGGGCUAGGAGAGGGGGGAGUGAGGAAUGACCGAUAAUGGGUCCAGGGAGGCCUCUGGGGAUGAUGCAAGUGUUGUGGAACUAGAAAGCAGUGAUAGUUGCACAACACUGUGAAUACACUACAUGUCACUAACAGUGAAUUUCAUGUGUGUUUGACUACAAUAAAAAAUUCAGUUUGUCCUCAUCUCCCCUUAUUUAUGCAAGAAGGAAAUUGAUUUCAUUAUGACCUUCUGAUCCUUUUUUAAAAAUAUUUAUGGAGAAGGUAAAGGCAACCCACUCCGGUACUCUUGCCUGGAAAAUCCCAUGGACGGAGGAGCCUGGUGGGCUGCAGUCCAUGGGACCUCGAAGAGUCGGACACGACCGAGUGACUUCACUUUCACUUUUCACUUUCAUGCAUUGGAGAAGGAAAUGGCAACCCACUCCAGUGUUCUUGCCUGGAGAAUCCCAGGGACAGGAGAGCCUGGUGGGCUGCUGUCUCUGGGGUCGCACAGAGUUGGACACGACUGAAGCGACUUAGCAGCAGCAGCUGGGUCUUAGUUGUUGCACUCUGGAUCUUUGAUCUUUGUUGUGGCAUAUGGGGUCUUUAAUUGCAGCAUGUGGGAUCUAGUUCCCUGACCAGGGAUCAAACCUGGACCCUGCUUGCACCACCGGGGAAGUCCCUCAUCUUAACUUCUUAAGAUCCUGUAACUGCUCAGCUAGAGUACUUUGCACGCUGCCUACCUAUAGGAUGACCUAAGUAGAACACUGAAUAGGCAAUAAUAUUAGACCGUAAAAUGAGAAAGUACUCUCUCUUCAGUUUCCUUUAGUCCUUCCGAUUACAUCAUAUUGAAAGUCUGACUUUGGUGCUAGUAAAGCCCAAACACCCCUCUUUCACUUUCCCCUCUCUGUUUCUCUCUUCCUCCCUCCCUCUCUUGUUUAAGUAAAGAAGUCGCAUACCUUAGGCCCAGGGCUUUAGGCAGGCAGCCUCAGAGCUCAACUUUAAUCAUAUUGUUUCAUUUUCAUUGUAUUUACUUCUGCUGAAAGCUUCUCUUUAGAGCAAGUGGGACUAGUAUUUCAACUAUGCAGAUGACAUAAAAUUUUUCCUUUUAAAAUAUAUCUUUUAAGUGGUGAAGUUAUUUUUUGUUCAGUCAGAAAUUAUUUUUAAAUAUACAUAAUUUAUUAUUUUUAUUAUCUUAAAUAUACAGAAAUAAUAGAGGACCCCAGAAAUAGCAAAAAUUAUGCUGUGACUGUACUAAUGACUGAAGUUUGGGAAACAAUACACUGUUCAAAUACUGCUGUUACUUUUCAGGAACUGGAGCCCAUCAAACCUGUGGAAAUUAUAGGCUUGUGGACCAAGUUCUGGCGAAGGCUCAACUUGUAGCAGCCCCCACCCACCCCACCCUGUCACUGUGUCACUCUGAGGGAGUACGUGGAGUGAGCCAGGGAGGCCUGCGGCUUGGAAAUUAAAGCUGAGGAGGCAGAAUCUGGCUUUUCCCCGAAGGCCCUUGGAGCUGACCUCGAGGGUAACUGGGGACUCAGCCAUGAUUCUCUCACAGAAGUCCUCAACAGGGGAAGGGAUGGAUGAGUGGUGACAAGAAUCAAUCAACUUGAUGUGUUUCAAAACUAUUUUAAUUUUUUUUUUUUCUUUUUGCUGUGCUACAGCAUGUGAGAUCCUACUUCCCCAACUAGGAAUGGAACCAUGCCCCCUGCAGUGGAAGCUCAGAGUCCUAACCACUGCACAGGGAAGUCCCCAAGAAUCAGUCAAUCUUGUCAGUCUCACUACCUCCCAAACCCCAACUCAUCCUCCUCAAGUGAGAGGAUCUUCUAGAAACAGGUCUUCAUGAGUUAUGUUCACAGUGCUAGUCAUAGCUAUCCUCCCACGAGGAUGCUACCAGCAGAGUCCACUCCUCUCUAAGUAGCCUCGACGAUCACUCAGACUUCUUUUCAUCAUUCAUCCAUUCAAGGAGCCCCUCAGGCAAUGAUUACUAAGAAGCCCCCAAAUGAACACUAUUUCUAAAUCUAAGAUCUAAAAGGCUAUUCAUUUUAAGGUAUAAUAAAAGCAGCUCUCUGCAUUUUAGUCUUAGAAAAAUCUUCCUAGAUAAGAAAAAACAUUCUGAGGAGUUUCCAGUGUCCUUCAAAUUGAUGCCUUGAGAACCCCGUGACUUCAAUGUCGACGACUGGAUUAAAUAGCACGCCAGCUCUGUAGCUUCCAGGGGUGGACAGGGAGUGGGGCGGGACCUAUAAAAAAAUGCUAAAACAUCACUGGCGUAAAUAAGUGGAAACGUUAAUUGGUCUCAUUCCUGCUCUAAAAGACAGUUCUUGAUGUGGACUUUUUUUUAACCCCUCUUUUCUUAAAUAGGCCUAACUUUGUGCAGUACACGUGUUUGGUCAGAGUCAACAAAACAUUAGUAAUCACAGCAAAGAGAAUAUUUUUAAAGUUCUACUUCUGCCUGUGCCUGGGAACAUUCUCAUACAAAUGUUUCUUCUCCCUUUAAAAACAUAAUUUAAGAGAAAAAGAAAAGAUGUUCAAAUAGUGAUUAUAUUUUGGCACCAAGUGUGUCACAAAUCAACAUAUAACUUUGUAUAAUUCCCCAGCAGAACCUAGCCAAAAGAAAGCCCUCCCCAGCUGAACUCAGCUUCUAGGGAAGAAUAGUCCUGUUUACAAACAUGGAAGAGAUGGGCAGUAGGAACCUGGUUCUGGUUUAGGGGGCAAGAUUGGAAGGGCAGGCAUGGAAGGGGUCCUUGUUGGACCCCGGAACUUCUCAUAUGUAUCAUCAGCACAUGGCCUCAUGAGCAGCUCUGUCCUUGGGCUUUCCUAGACACAGGAAGGGGAGAGCCGAGUUCUACACUCUGAUCCAGAAGGAGCAGUGACUUUGGGUAAGAGAUUUCCACCUAGAAAAUAGGUCCCGAUCUCAGGGUGUCCCUUGUCCCGAAGUCAGGAGAAAGAGGAGUGGAAGGCAGACAGCCGAUGUUGCUUCUUGCUUUUCCUUUAUGCCUACAUGAGAGAAUAAGUAGUUUUCUUCCUAAGUGCCUGGUGGUAAAAAGUGAUAAAUUUCUUUGAACCAUGCAGAUGGGAUAGAACUAAAGCAUGCCAAAAAUAAUUGAAGUUAGCUUCACCAUAGCUGAAAUUUUGACACUAAAUAAUGCACAGUGUGAACCUGUUUAUGAGGACUGGGUAAUUUGUUAAAUAGUCUUCAUUUUGCACCCUUUAAUCUGCCUCCCCAAAAUUUGUCUGAUUCAGAAAAAUCACAAAAGAGAGUUAACAAGAAAAUGAGUACAUGGAACAAUAAGAGAUACUCCCCUGAAUUUUUUUCUUAGAACAUUAAUUUUGCUUUGCCAGCAGAAGUGGACCCCUCUGGAUGGUUAAUCCAUUUCUAUGCAUUUGUAUUUCUAGAAAAUUGGUUCCUUCUCAUCCUCACUCAAUCAAAUCUAAAGGGGAAAGUUUGACAGUAUACUUGAGAUAAUGUGGGCAAACUUUACCAUGUAGUGCUCCUAGGAAUGGAAGUGAAGAAAAUCUCUUAAGGGGGAGGGCACUUC
Molecule: long non-coding RNA, 5706 nt
Organism: Bos taurus (domestic cattle)
Lineage: Eukaryota; Metazoa; Chordata; Mammalia; Artiodactyla; Bovidae
Source: Ensembl